This 220-nucleotide ribosomal RNA is filed under the name uncultured bacterium. RNAcentral's name for it is "partial 16S ribosomal RNA". It matches the Rfam family "Bacterial small subunit ribosomal RNA", at positions 524 to 742 of the family's 1533-position model. The record is from RNAcentral.
UACGUAGGGUGCGAGCGUUGUCCGGAAUUAUUGGGCGUAAAGAGCUUGUAGGCGGUUUGUCGCGUCUGCUGUGAAAAUCCGGGGCUCAACCCCGGACUUGCAGUGGGUACGGGCAGACUAGAGUGUGGUAGGGGGAGACUGGAAUUCCUGGUGUAGCGGUGGAAUGCGCAGAUAUCAGGAGGAACACCGAUGGCGAAGGCAGGUCUCUGGGCCACUACUG